Molecule: ribosomal RNA, 455 nt
Filed under: Catonella morbi
Lineage: Bacteria; Bacillati; Bacillota; Clostridia; Lachnospirales; Lachnospiraceae
Description: bacterial SSU rRNA
Rfam family: Bacterial small subunit ribosomal RNA
Source: RNAcentral
GAUGAACGCUGGCGGCGUGCUUAACACAUGCAAGUCGAACGGAGAUUACGGACGGAAGUUUUCGGAUGGAAGUUUGUAAUUCUUAGUGGCGGACGGGUGAGUAACGCGUGGGCAACCUGCCCUAUACAGGGGGAUAGCAGCUGGAAACGGCUGGUAAGACCGCAUAAGUCGGUUAAAUCGCAUGAUUUGAUCGGGAAAUGAGCAAUCAGGUAUAGGAUGGGCCCGCGUCCGAUUAGCCAGUUGGCAGGGUAAAGGCCUACCAAAGCAACGAUCGGUAGCCGGACUGAGAGGUCGGACGGCCACAUUGGGACUGAGACACGGCCCAAACUCCUACGGGAGGCAGCAGUGGGGGAUAUUGCACAAUGGAGGAAACUCUGAUGCAGCGACGCCGCGUGAGUGAAGAAGUAUUUCGGUAUGUAAAGCUCUAUCAGCAGGGAAGAUGAUGACGGUACCUG